UAGUCCACGCCGUAAACGAUGAUAACUAGCUGGUCCGGGCUCAUAGAGUUUGGGUGGCGCAGCUAACGCAUUAAGUUAUCCGCCUGGGGAGUACGGUCGCAAGAUUAAAACUCAAAGGAAUUGACGGGGGCCUGCACAAGCGGUGGAGCAUGUGGUUUAAUUCGAAGCAACGCGCAGAACCUUACCAGCCCUUGACAUACCGGUCGCGGAUUUCAGAGAUGAUUUCCUUCAGCUUGGCUGGACCGUGUACAGGUGCUGCACGGCUGUCGUCAGCUCGUGUCGUGAGAUGUUGGGUUAAGUCCCGCAACGAGCGCAACCCUCAUCCUUAGUUGCCAGCAUUUAGUUGGGCACUCUAAGGAAACUGCCGGUGAUAAGCCGGAGGAAGGUGGGGAUGACGUCAAGUCCUCAUGGCCCUUACAAGCUGGGCUACACACGUGCUACAAUGGCGAAUGACAGUGAACAGCUAACCCGCGAGGGCAAGCCUAAUCUCUAAAAGUCGUACUC
This 504-nucleotide ribosomal RNA is filed under the name uncultured bacterium. Its description in RNAcentral is "bacterial SSU rRNA". It matches the Rfam family "Bacterial small subunit ribosomal RNA", at positions 791 to 1289 of the family's 1533-position model. The record is from RNAcentral.